UCCGUAGGUGAACCUGCGGAGGGAUCAUUACCGAGUUUACAACUCCCAAACCCCUGUGAACAUACCUAUACGUUGCCUCGGCGGAUCAGCCCGCGCCCCGUAAAACGGGACGGCCCGCCCGAGGACCCCUAAACUCUGUUUUUAGUGGAACUUCUGAGUAAAACAAACAAAUAAAUCAAAACUUUCAACAACGGAUCUCUUGGUUCUGGCAUCGAUGAAGAACGCAGCAAAAUGCGAUAAGUAAUGUGAAUUGCAGAAUUCAGUGAAUCAUCGAAUCUUUGAACGCACAUUGCGCCCGCCAGUAUUCUGGCGGGCAUGCCUGUUCGAGCGUCAUUUCAACCCUCAAGCUCAGCUUGGUGUUGGGACUCGCGGUAACCCGCGUUCCCCAAAUCGAUUGGCGGUCACGUCGAGCUUCCAUAGCGUAGUAGUCAUACACCUCGUUACUGGUAAUCGUCGCGGCCACGCCGUAAAACCCCAACUUCUGAAUGUUGACCUCGGAUCAGGUAGGAAUACCCGCUGAACUUAAGCAUAUCAAUAAGCGGAGGA
RNAcentral lists this ribosomal RNA (546 nucleotides) under Fusarium proliferatum. RNAcentral describes it as "eukaryotic LSU rRNA". The stretch from base 180 to 333 matches the Rfam family "5.8S ribosomal RNA". Lineage: Eukaryota; Fungi; Ascomycota; Sordariomycetes; Hypocreales; Nectriaceae. The record is from RNAcentral.